AUUGUAAUUCCGUUCAUUUGUUGUUAAGUUCUCUCAUUUUUUUUUUUUAAACCGGAAUUGGUUUUCAUUAAUUCAAGUUUGGUACAGUAGGUAAGAAAAGUAAAGCUGAUUUAGCUAACGCAUCAGCUUUCUUAUUCAUGUCUCUUGGUACAAACACGAAGGAAACAUAAUCGAAACGAAGAGAUAGAUUGAGGAUGUCGUGGUGAAUCCCAUGAAAGUCCUUGAAAGAAGCCUCCAAAUUAAGCGCUUUGAUCAACUGUAGUGAAUAUGAAGCGAAAGAAACUCGUUUCAAAUCUAGCUCAAGAGCUUGGUGGAUGGCGAGGAGUAGAGCCGAUGCUUUGGCUAUUAAAGGAGAAGCGAUGUUUGAGGCCACAGAUCCGGCUUUGAUUUUCGAUGAUUGAGACCUGUCAAGAAAGAUCCAGCCAAAUCCAGCUUCCCUCGUCUCCUCUCGCCAUGAACCGUCAGAGAAACAUUGGAUGGUAUCCAAACGGAGAUCUGGAGUUGCUCGGAUCUGGUUUGAUGUUUUGGAGAUGGUGUUUGGUCUUGGGCUGCAGACCAGUCUCGAGCUAAAACGAUGGCGAGUGUUAUAAUUUCUGAGCAGGUGAAGAGGCAGAUUUCAAAGAUCUUCUUAUUUCUCGAGUACCAAUUAAACCACAAGAUCAAGGGGCUAGAUUCCCAGUUCCUACUCCACAGGGAGGUAAACAGAUUAACUUGUUGAUUACCUCAAUUCCAUGUUGAGUGGUCGUGAACAGUUCUGUGCGUGGUGGGGUUUUAAAAGGUGCUGAUCUCCAGACUUCUGCUGCAAAGGGGCAGUGGAACAGUAAAUGAAUGACGGAUUCGUCAGCAUUGCAGUGUGGACAGGUAGCAUCCGGAUUGAUUCCUCUGAUUCACAGUUUUUGGCCAGUAGGAAGGGCGUUCCUCAUACCUUUCCAGGUUAGAAACCAGACUUUUGGUGGGCAGUGAAGGUUCCAGAUGUUUUUAUUCCAGUUGAAAGUUGGAUUGGGAACCAGGUGGUUUGGUCUUCCUCUCUCUGAAGCCGCAUGGUAUCUCGUUUUGGCCGAGUAUACACCCGAUUUGGUAGGUAGCCAAGAGUACUGAUCAGGGGCUCCUAGCUUGCUUGGACGAAGGAUACAGAUCUCAUUCUCGUAUUGAGGAGGUCCAUAAGGGAUAACUGGUGAUGAAAGCGAUAACCAUGGAUCAUUCCAAACAGAAGUUGUCGAUCCCGACCCAAUUGCUUUACCUAGAGUAGUUUUCAGGAGGUCUCUCCCAAUACAAAUACCACGUCAACCAUGCGAAGCAUUAGAGGAGACGGUACAAUCCAGGAAAGAGCUUGCUUUGCAAUACUUGCCAAGAAGGGUUUUAGCCAAAAGGCAGUCUGGUCUAGUAAGAAUACGCCAACUCUCUUUUGCUAAGAGAGCAUCGUUGAAACAGAAGAAUCCCACCAGAACCGAGUGAGGGCUGAUUGGAUUCUCUUGCAUAAAGACAUCAAAAGCUUGAAGCAUGACAUGGUGUAGGUUGGCAUGGCCGAGAGGACAGACUUCAACAUAGUAGUCUUUCCCGCAAUUGAUAAGUGUUUUGAUGACCAACUUACUGCCUUUUGACGUAUUCUAUCUACUAUGAAAUUGAAUAGAUCCUACUUUUUCCUGCCAAACAUCUCAGGUAGGCCUAGAUAUUUCCCAAGACCUCCAGCUCUCUGAAUUCCUAAAGUUUGUUGGGCCAGCGUCUUCACAUCUUCAGGGGUCUUUGACGAAAAGAAAAACAUAGUAUCGUCAGCGAAGAGGAGAUGGUUUAUUCGGGGGCAAUCAAUAGCAACACAGAUCCCAAGUAGUUUAUUCUCCUUCUGUGCAUUUAGACAGAGGCCCAAUAGGACCUCACCACACAGGAUGAACAGAUACGGAGAUAGCAGAUCCCCUUGUCUGAUUCCUCUUUGGGGAACAACUGAGCCUUGGGCUGAGCCAUUUAACAGAUAGGAAUAGGAAACUGUGGUCACACAUUGCAUAAUCCAUUAUAUCCACUUCCUAUGGAAGCCCAUCCUUUCCAUGACCACUCUGAUAAAAUCCCACUCAAUACGAUCAUAAGCCUUAGCCAUAUCUGAUUUUACUGCCAUGUAGCAACGUUUCUUUGCAUCUGAGGUUUUUAGAUAGUGCAAGAUCUCAUGAGUUAUAAGGACAUUAUCAGUGAUGGCUCUG
Camelina sativa (false flax) is the source of this 2189-nucleotide non-coding RNA. The record is from RefSeq and is a predicted model, not a curated record. NCBI's taxonomy places the organism in Eukaryota, Viridiplantae, Streptophyta, Magnoliopsida, Brassicales, Brassicaceae.